UACGUAGGGUGCGAGCGUUGUCCGGAAUUAUUGGGCGUAAAGAGCUCGUAGGCGGUGUGUCGCGUCGGCCGUGAAAACCUGGGGCUUAACUCUGGGCGUGCGGUCGAUACGGGCAUCACUGGAGUUCGGCAGGGGAGACUGGAAUUCCUGGUGUAGCGGUGAAAUGCGCAGAUAUCAGGAGGAACACCGGUGGCGAAGGCGGUUCUCUGGGCCUGUGACUGACGCUGAGGAACGAAAGCGUGGGGAGCGAACAGG
This 255-nucleotide ribosomal RNA is filed under the name uncultured bacterium. Its description in RNAcentral is "partial 16S ribosomal RNA". It matches the Rfam family "Bacterial small subunit ribosomal RNA", at positions 524 to 776 of the family's 1533-position model. The record is from RNAcentral.